AGUGAACGCUGGCGGUAGGCCUAACACAUGCAAGUCGAACGGCAGCACAGUAAGAGCUUGCUCUUACGGGUGGCGAGUGGCGGACGGGUGAGGAAUACAUCGGAAUCUACUUUUUCGUGGGGGAUAACGUAGGGAAACUUACGCUAAUACCGCAUACGACCUACGGGUGAAAGCAGGGGAUCUUCGGACCUUGCGCGAUUGAAUGAGCCGAUGUCGGAUUAGCUAGUUGGCGGGGUAAAGGCCCACCAAGGCGACGAUCCGUAGCUGGUCUGAGAGGAUGAUCAGCCACACUGGAACUGAGACACGGUCCAGACUCCUACGGGAGGCAGCAGUGGGGAAUAUUGGACAAUGGGCGCAAGCCUGAUCCAGCCAUACCGCGUGGGUGAAGAAGGCAUCCGGGUUGUAAAGCCCUUUUGUUGGGAAAGAAAAGCAGCAGGUUAAUACCCCGCUGUUCUGACGGUACCCAAAGAAUAAGCACCGGCUAACUUCGUG
RNAcentral lists this ribosomal RNA (492 nucleotides) under uncultured bacterium. Its description in RNAcentral is "partial 16S ribosomal RNA". It matches the Rfam family "Bacterial small subunit ribosomal RNA", at positions 29 to 507 of the family's 1533-position model. The record is from RNAcentral.